GGAGAGGUAGCGAAGAGGCUAAACGCGGCGGACUGUAAAUCCGCUCCUUCGGGUUCGGGGGUUCGAAUCCCUCCCUCUCCA
This is a transfer RNA of Streptococcus intermedius B196, 81 nucleotides long. It matches the Rfam family "tRNA". From Rfam's summary of the family: Transfer RNA (tRNA) molecules are approximately 80 nucleotides in length. Their secondary structure includes four short double-helical elements and three loops (D, anti-codon, and T loops). Further hydrogen bonds mediate the characteristic L-shaped molecular structure. tRNAs have two regions of fundamental functional importance: the anti-codon, which is responsible for specific mRNA codon recognition, and the 3' end, to which the tRNAs corresponding amino acid is attached (by aminoacyl-tRNA synthetases). tRNAs cope with the degeneracy of the genetic code in two manners: having more than one tRNA (with a specific anti-codon) for a particular amino acid; and 'wobble' base-pairing, i.e. permitting non-standard base-pairing at the 3rd anti-codon position. NCBI's taxonomy places the organism in Bacteria, Bacillati, Bacillota, Bacilli, Lactobacillales, Streptococcaceae. The record is from Rfam.